GCCCAGAGCCUGAAUCAGUGUGUGUGUUAGUGGAAGCGUCUGGAAAGGCGCGCGAUACAGGGUGACAGCCCCGUACACAAAAAUGCACAUGCUGUGAGCUCGAUGAGUAGGGCGGGACACGUGGUAUCCUGUCUGAAUAUGGGGGGACCAUCCUCCAAGGCUAAAUACUCCUGACUGACCGAUAGUGAACCAGUACCGUGAGGGAAAGGCGAAAAGAACCCCGGCGAGGGGAGUGAAAAAGAACCUGAAACCGUGUACGUACAAGCAGUGGGAGCACGCUUAGGCGUGUGACUGCGUACCUUUUGUAUAAUGGGUCAGCGACUUAUAUUCUGUAGCAAGGUUAACCGAAUAGGGGAGCCGAAGGGAAACCGAGUCUUAACUGGGCGUUAAGUUGCAGGGUAUAGACCCGAAACCCGGUGAUCUAGCCAUGGGCAGGUUGAAGGUUGGGUAACACUAACUGGAGGACCGAACCGACUAAUGUUGAAAAAUUAGCGGAUGACUUGUGGCUGGGGGUGAAAGGCCAAUCAAACCGGGAGAUAGCUGGUUCUCCCCGAAAGCUAUUUAGGUAGCGCCUCGUGAAUUCAUCUCCGGGGGUAGAGCACUGUUUCGGCAAGGGGGUCAUCCCGACUUACCAACCCGAUGCAAACUGCGAAUACCGGAGAAUGUUAUCACGGGAGACACACGGCGGGUGCUAACGUCCGUCGUGAAGAGGGAAACAACCCAGACCGCCAGCUAAGGUCCCAAAGUCAUGGUUAAGUGGGAAACGAUGUGGGAAGGCCCAGACAGCCAGGAUGUUGGCUUAGAAGCAGCCAUCAUUUAAAGAAAGCGUAAUAGCUCACUGGUCGAGUCGGCCUGCGCGGAAGAUGUAACGGGGCUAAACCAUGCACCGAAGCUGCGGCAGCGACACUAUGUGUUGUUGGGUAGGGGAGCGUUCUGUAAGCCUGUGAAGGUGUACUGUGAGGUAUGCUGGAGGUAUCAGAAGUGCGAAUGCUGACAUAAGUAACGAUAAAGCGGGUGAAAAGCCCGCUCGCCGGAAGACCAAGGGUUCCUGUCCAACGUUAAUCGGGGCAGGGUGAGUCGACCCCUAAGGCGAGGCCGAAAGGCGUAGUCGAUGGGAAACAGGUUAAUAUUCCUGUACUUGGUGUUACUGCGAAGGGGGGACGGAGAAGGCUAUGUUGGCCGGGCGACGGUUGUCCCGGUUUAAGCGUGUAGGCUGGUUUUCCAGGCAAAUCCGGAAAAUCAAGGCUGAGGCGUGAUGACGAGGCACUACGGUGCUGAAGCAACAAAUGCCCUGCUUCCAGGAAAAGCCUCUAAGCAUCAGGUAACAUCAAAUCGUACCCCAAACCGACACAGGUGGUCAGGUAGAGAAUACCAAGGCGCUUGAGAGAACUCGGGUGAAGGAACUAGGCAAAAUGGUGCCGUAACUUCGGGAGAAGGCACGCUGAUAUGUAGGUGAAGUCCCUCGCGGAUGGAGCUGAAAUCAGUCGAAGAUACCAGCUGGCUGCAACUGUUUAUUAAAAACACAGCACUGUGCAAACACGAAAGUGGACGUAUACGGUGUGACGCCUGCCCGGUGCCGGAAGGUUAAUUGAUGGGGUCAGCGCAAGCGAAGCUCUUGAUCGAAGCCCCGGUAAACGGCGGCCGUAACUAUAACGGUCCUAAGGUAGCGAAAUUCCUUGUCGGGUAAGUUCCGACCUGCACGAAUGGCGUAAUGAUGGCCAGGCUGUCUCCACCCGAGACUCAGUGAAAUUGAACUCGCUGUGAAGAUGCAGUGUACCCGCGGCAAGACGGAAAGACCCCGUG
RNAcentral lists this ribosomal RNA (1803 nucleotides) under Escherichia coli. RNAcentral's name for it is "partial 23S ribosomal RNA". It matches the Rfam family "Bacterial large subunit ribosomal RNA", at positions 296 to 2095 of the family's 2925-position model. The record is from RNAcentral. Lineage: Bacteria; Pseudomonadati; Pseudomonadota; Gammaproteobacteria; Enterobacterales; Enterobacteriaceae.